GCUUUAAAUUUUUAUAUUUAAAAGCUUCACAUAGUUAGGUUUGAGUCGGAGGAAGGAGAUCUAGGGGUCAAAAGUCAAUCUUCUUAUUCGAUGGAUAGGAUGGAGGCAUAGAUACAUUCAUAUCAUCAAAUGAGAUGUGUAUGAAUAAUCCAUUUAAAAAUCAGAGGAGUAUAUUGAAAUAUACUCCUUCAUACCGGUUUAGAC
Molecule: long non-coding RNA, 204 nt
Filed under: Elaeis guineensis (African oil palm)
Lineage: Eukaryota; Viridiplantae; Streptophyta; Magnoliopsida; Arecales; Arecaceae
Description: long non-coding RNA (EGUI_LNC040992)
Source: RNAcentral